GUCUAUGGCCCUGCCACCCUCAACAAGCCUGAUGUCUGAUCUCGGAAACUAAGCAAGGUCGAGCCUGGUUAGUACUUGAAUGGGAGACAACCUAGGAAAGCAGGUGUUGUAGGCA
This 115-nucleotide ribosomal RNA is filed under the name Pteropus alecto (black flying fox). The record is from RNAcentral. Lineage: Eukaryota; Metazoa; Chordata; Mammalia; Chiroptera; Pteropodidae.